AGAAUCAACGCUGGCGGCGUGCCUAACACAUGCAAGUCGAACGAGAAAGUGGAGCAAUCCAUGAGUAAAGUGGCGCACGGGUGAGUAACACGUGACUAACCUACCCUUGAGUGGGGAAUAACCUAGGGAAACCUGGGCUAAUACCGCAUAACACCUACGGGUCAAAGGAGCAAUUCGCUUAAGGAGGGGGUCGCGGCAGAUUAGCUAGUUGGCGGGGUAAUGGCCCACCAAGGCAGUGAUCUGUAUCCGGCCUGAGAGGGCGCACGGACACACUGGAACUGAAACACGGUCCAGACUCCUACGGGAGGCAGCAGUGGGGAAUUUUGCGCAAUGGGGGAAACCCUGACGCAGCAACGCCGCGUGGAGGAUGAAGUCCCUUGGGACGUAAACUCCGUUUCGACCGGGAAGAUUAUGACGGUACCGGAAGAAGAAGCCCGGCUAACUUCGCGCCAGCAGCCGC
This 460-nucleotide ribosomal RNA is filed under the name uncultured bacterium. Its description in RNAcentral is "SSU rRNA". It matches the Rfam family "Bacterial small subunit ribosomal RNA", at positions 26 to 518 of the family's 1533-position model. The record is from RNAcentral.